This 1037-nucleotide small RNA is filed under the name Vigna angularis var. angularis. RNAcentral's name for it is "Non-protein coding transcript". The record is from RNAcentral. Lineage: Eukaryota; Viridiplantae; Streptophyta; Magnoliopsida; Fabales; Fabaceae.
AACUUACAAGAACAUCUCUCUGGUUUGCACCCAAAAAAAUAUUUUGUUGUUUAAAAUAUGAGCAAUAAAUUUCCAAACUUCGUGGAUAUGGAUAUAUCUUCAUUGGACAAUUUUACUAGUCAUAUGACUAACAUUUAGUGAACCAAAAGUAUGUACAAAAAGUGAUAGAACUUGAUUACGCAGGUAAACGAAGCAAAAGAAAUUUCUUCAGCUGGGAAAAGAGACUUCGUAUAGCAGUGGAUGCAGCCUCAGGAUUGGAGUAUCUGCAAAAUGGUUGUAAGCCACCAAUAUUCCACAGAGACAUAAAAGCUACAAACAUCUUGUUGAAUGAACAACUCCAAGCAAAAUUAUCUGAUUUUGGUCUAUCCAAAAUUAUCCUAACUGAUGGGGAAACUCAUGUUUCAACUGUUAUUGCUGGUACUCCUGGUUAUCUAGACCCUGAAUACUACCUAACCAAUAGAUUAACAGAGAAGAGCGACGUUUAUAGCUUUGGUGUUGUGCUUUUAGAGAUAAUCACAAGUCAACCAGUGAUAGCGAAGAAUCAAGAAAAAACACAUAUAAGUGAAUGGGUUAGGUCUUUGAUUGCAAAAGGUGAUAUCAAUGCCAUUGUUGAUUCAAGGUUGGAAGGAGACUUUGACAGUAACUCAGUUUGGAAAGCUGUAGAAAUAGCAACGGCAUGUGUAUCUCCAAAUCCCAACAGAAGGCCAAUCAUAAGUGUGGUGGUGAAUGAACUGAAGGAGUCUUUAGCAAUGGAAUUAGCUCGAACUGAAGAUAGAAGCACCAAUACAAGUUAUUCAGUUAAACAGGUCAUCAGGAAUCUGAAUACAGAAUCUCUUCCCCAGGCCAGAUAAACGGUUGCCCAAUGUAAGAUGAUUAUAGUCAUACUGUAAUGUACCACUUGAGAUUGUUUGAAGAUGAACAUUGGUAGGAUUGAUUGGUGAGUGAAAUGGAGUUGCAAAUAGAAGAAAAUAAAUAAAUAAUCAGUAAUGAAUUUCAAUUUGCCAUUGGUGUUAUUUUUGCUUGCGUUCUUAUUCCGA